GAUGAAGAACGCAGCGAAAUGCGAUACGUAAUGUGAAUUGCAGAAUUCAGUGAAUCAUCGAGUCUUUGAACGCACAUUGCGCCCCCUGGUAUUCCGGGGGCAUGCCUGUCCGAGCGUCAUUGCUGCCCUCAAGCACGGCUUGUGUGUUGGGCCCCGCCCCCCGAUCCCGGGGGGCGGGCCCGAAAGGCAGCGGCGGCACCGCGUCCGGUCCUCGAGCGUAUGGGGCUUUGUCACCCGCUCUGUAGGCCCGGCCGGCGCCUGCCGAUCAACCAAACUUUUUUCCAGGUUGACCUCGGAUCAGGUAGGGAUACCCGCUGAACUUAAGCAUAUCAAUAAGCGGAGGA
This 344-nucleotide unclassified non-coding RNA is filed under the name soil metagenome. Its description in RNAcentral is "partial contains 5.8S ribosomal RNA, internal transcribed spacer 2, and large subunit ribosomal RNA". The stretch from base 1 to 119 matches the Rfam family "5.8S ribosomal RNA", at positions 35 to 154 of the family's 154-position model. The record is from RNAcentral.